CUAGUCGCACGAGUUCAGACUCGUGGCGAAUAGCUCAGUAACACGUGGCCAAACUACCCUUCGGAACACAAUACCCUCGGGAAACUGAGGCUAAUAGUGUAUACCAUACCACCACUGGAAUGAGUGGUAUGCCAAACGCUCCGGCGCCGAAGGAUGUGGCUGCGGCCGAUUAGGUAGACGGUGGGGUAACGGCCCACCGUGCCAAUAAUCGGUAUGGGUCAUGAGAGUGAGAACCCAGAGACGGAAUCUGAGACAAGAUUCCGGGCCCUACGGGGCGCAGCAGGCGCGAAACCUUUACACUGCACGACAGUGCGAUAGGGGGAUCCCAAGUGCACAGGCAUAGCGCCUGUGCUUUUCGGUACCCUAAGGCGGUACCAGAAUAAGGGCUGGGCAAGACCGGUGCCAGCCGCCGCGGUAAUACCGGCAGCCCAAGUGAUGGCCGAUCUUAUUGGGCCUAAAGCGUCCGUAGCUGGCCGCGCAAGUCCAUCGGGAAAUCCACCUGCUCAACAGGUGGGCGCCCGGUAGAAACUGCGUGGCUUGGGACCGGAAGGCGCGACGGGUACGUCCGGGGUAGGAGUGAAAUCCCGUAAUCCUGGACGGACCGCCGAUGGCGAA
RNAcentral lists this ribosomal RNA (615 nucleotides) under Halorubrum ezzemoulense. RNAcentral describes it as "bacterial SSU rRNA". It matches the Rfam family "Archaeal small subunit ribosomal RNA", at positions 54 to 670 of the family's 1478-position model. The record is from RNAcentral. Lineage: Archaea; Methanobacteriati; Methanobacteriota; Halobacteria; Halobacteriales; Haloferacaceae.